UACGAAGGGGGCUAGCGUUGCUCGGAAUUACUGGGCGUAAAGCGCACGUAGGCGGCCUGUCGCGUCGGGAGUGAAAGCCCACUGCUUAACGGUGGGUCUGCUUCCGGUACGGGCGGGCUGGAGUAUGGCAGGGGAGACUGGAAUUCCUGGUGUAGCGGUGGAAUGCGCAGAUAUCAGGAGGAACACCGGUGGCGAAGGCGGGUCUCUGGGCCAUUACUGACGCUGAGGAGCGAAAGCGUGGGGAGCGAACAGG
Molecule: ribosomal RNA, 253 nt
Filed under: uncultured bacterium
Lineage: Bacteria
Description: partial 16S ribosomal RNA
Rfam family: Bacterial small subunit ribosomal RNA
Source: RNAcentral